ACCAGACAAAGACAAAGUGGAACAAGAGCUAUGCAUUGCUGCAGCUAACCAGCAGCUCAGCAAACUCUGAGCUGCCAUCCACAAAAUGAUUUUUGCCAUGUUCUACCAACGAAGCAACUCACUAGCUAUGCUGUAAAUGAAGUCUGUUUUCUGUGGUCUUGCAUGUUUUACUUUGGAAAAAUUAAAAGACCAGAAUGAACAUUCAGAUACAAAUUAGGAAUGUGUGAGAGUGGCUGGUUUCAUGGAGGUCACGGAGGUUCCAGUAAUGAGCUUUAUUAAACUGCUGAGAUUAAUACAAUCUGCCAGACCUCAAGCUAGACUCCUUCAUUCCAAACUACCUACAAAACACCCACACAUAUUGAAGAGCAACACCUCACAGUCAUUCCACAUGCAUCUCUGGGUAGCAAUUUGGACUUCAUAAACCUCCUUAUUUUCAACUACUUCAGUAUGCCUUCUGAAAGCCUUAGUUGAUCAACAAGAAUCUGCAAGCAUUCUAAUCUAAGCAGAUGACAGUUUCAGAACUGCCGUUUGUUUUUUCUAAAAAAAAUUUUCUUUUCCAGUUCAUGGCAGGGCUGAUCAAGGGCAGU
This is a non-coding RNA of Coturnix japonica (Japanese quail), 587 nucleotides long. NCBI's taxonomy places the organism in Eukaryota, Metazoa, Chordata, Aves, Galliformes, Phasianidae. The record is from RefSeq and is a predicted model, not a curated record.